Magnolia sinica is the source of this 1186-nucleotide long non-coding RNA. RefSeq lists it as uncharacterized. The record is from RefSeq and is a predicted model, not a curated record. NCBI's taxonomy places the organism in Eukaryota, Viridiplantae, Streptophyta, Magnoliopsida, Magnoliales, Magnoliaceae. The transcript has 2 exons.
UUAUGUCAUCAGAUUUCAUGAAAUCUGCGUGUAUGCUUGGCUUUUCAGGUUUAGGCUUGCGAUUGAUUAUUGCAGACCCUAAAGCUUUAUCCAUCUUACCUGUAAAAAAAAGCAAAAGAAAAAAAGAGAGAGAAAAAAGCUUUAUCAAUGAAAAGAGAGAGAAGAGACCCAACUCCCACAAUAUAUGGUAGUUGUUGACUGCAGCAGAUAUUCAACUGCUGCCUUGGAGGUAGAAAUGUUAGUCCUUUUUUAACAAGGUCCGCUCAGAGCUGUUGAUUGCAACAGAUUCAGCCACUGCCUUGUUUUAUCUAAGAAAGGGGGUUUCUUUGAUGAGUUUUGCUAAAUCUGGAUUUAUCUUUUGGUAGCUCACUUGUUUGGUGAAUCUACGUUGAGUACCUCUGUUGGUUUCUUCAUUCUUCAGGGAAAGCAAGAUUUGUGGGGCCUGCAAUAGGAGACUGCAACCUUUCCUAUGAUAGUAGAAGGGGUUUUUUCUACUCCUAUAAAUGUUCUUUGGCAGUGCUUAUUUUCUGUUGCUCGUUUCUGUAUGUAUUCAGUAUGUAGGAAUUUCUAAGUUGCUCUGAUUUGGAUCUCAGGGCUGUGGAAUCGUCUUUAUCCAUCAGUUAGAACUGGAUUCGGCAACAUGGUUUAUCGCUAAGGGGGGUUUCAUUGCAGAAUUUCUUCUCUUUGGUUCCGCUGGUGUGUUUUGUCAAAUUUUCAUGAAACUACGUGCCGUGUUUGGCCUUUCAGGUUGUUGUUUGCAAUGGCAAUGGAUUGUCGACGACUGUAAGAUGCGAAACUGAGGGAAUUUGGUCGUUGUAUGGUUCCAUAGAAAUAGAUGGCCAAGCUGCUUGCCAAUUUUUUUCCUUAAUUGCUUCAGAGAAAGGGAUGGUCAUGAUCUUAUCGAAUGAUUAUCUUGCUGGGUUCUUGGUCUAGAUUCUCACCUUCCAAUAUUCGUCAAUGCCAUUCUUAUGAUCAGUAUGUAUUCUAGAUGUUUAUUUGCACCCUCUGGCUGUGAUGCAGACUUGCUGAAUGUUUAGGAGUUUGGAAUUGAGGUGGUUUUCUGAUUUUUUUUUUCAGAGUUUAGAAAUGAGAAGAUUAGUUUUCCUACGUGGAUGUUUCGGCGGUUUCGCUUGUUUUUACUUUCUACUUGGUUUCUAUGUUUGUUAAAAUUUUUGGAAAUUCUUUA